RNAcentral lists this ribosomal RNA (650 nucleotides) under uncultured archaeon. Its description in RNAcentral is "bacterial SSU rRNA". It matches the Rfam family "Archaeal small subunit ribosomal RNA", at positions 5 to 663 of the family's 1478-position model. The record is from RNAcentral.
CGGUUGAUCCUGCCGGACCCGACUGCUAUCAGAGUGGGACUAAGCCAUGCGAGUCAACGCCGAAAGGCGUGGCAUACGGCUCAGUAACACGUAGUCAACAUGCCCUAAGGACGUGGAUAACCUCGGGAAACUGAGGAUAAACCGCGAUAGGCCAAGGUUUCUGGAAUGAGCCAUGGCCGAAAUCUAUAUGGCCUUUGGAUUGGACUGCGGCCGAUCAGGCUGUUGGUGAGGUAAUGGCCCACCAAACCUGUAACCGGUACGGGCUUUGAGAGAAGGAGCCCGGAGAUGGGCACUGAGACAAGGGCCCAGGCCCUAUGGGGCGCAGCAGGCGCGAAACCUCUGCAAUAGGCGAAAGCUUGACAGGGUUACUCUGAGUGAUGCCCGCUAAGGGUAUCUUUUGGCACCUCUAAAAAUGGUGCAGAAUAAGGGGUGGGCAAGUCUGGUGUCAGCCGCCGCGGUAAUACCAGCACCCCGAGUUGUCGGGACGAUUAUUGGGCCUAAAGCAUCCGUAGCCUGUUCUGCAAGUCCUCCGUUAAAUCCACCUGCUCAACGGAUGGGCUGCGGAGGAUACCGCAGAGCUAGGAGGCGGGAGAGGCAAACGGUACUCAGUGGGUAGGGGUAAAAUCCAUUGAUCUACUGAAGACCACCAG